Non-coding RNA from Schistosoma mattheei, 45 nucleotides. The record is from Rfam. Lineage: Eukaryota; Metazoa; Platyhelminthes; Trematoda; Strigeidida; Schistosomatidae.
AUCCAGCUGACGAGUCCCAAAUAGGAUGAGACGCGCUUCCUGGAU